RNAcentral lists this ribosomal RNA (499 nucleotides) under uncultured bacterium. RNAcentral's name for it is "partial 16S ribosomal RNA". It matches the Rfam family "Bacterial small subunit ribosomal RNA", at positions 355 to 873 of the family's 1533-position model. The record is from RNAcentral.
UGGGGAAUCUUAGACAAUGGGGGCAACCCUGAUCUAGCCAUGCCGCGUGAGUGAUGAAGGCCUUAGGGUUGUAAAGCUCUUUCAGCUGGGAAGAUAAUGACGGUACCAGCAGAAGAAGCCCCGGCUAACUCCGUGCCAGCAGCCGCGGUAAUACGGAGGGGGCUAGCGUUGUUCGGAAUUACUGGGCGUAAAGCGCACGUAGGCGGACUGGAAAGUCAGAGGUGAAAUCCCAGGGCUCAACCUUGGAACUGCCUUUGAAACUAUCAGUCUGGAGUUCGAGAGAGGUGAGUGGAAUUCCGAGUGUAGAGGUGAAUUCGUGAUAUUCGGAGGAACACCAGUGGCGAAGGCGGCUCACUGGCUCGAUACUGACGCUGAGGUGCGAAAGCGUGGGGAGCAAAACAGGAUUAGAUACCCUGGUAGUCCACGCCGUAAACGAUGAAUGCCAGACGUCGGCAAGCAUGCUUGUCGGUGUCACACCUAACGGAUUAAGCAUUCCGCC